Molecule: long non-coding RNA, 399 nt
Filed under: Olea europaea (common olive)
Lineage: Eukaryota; Viridiplantae; Streptophyta; Magnoliopsida; Lamiales; Oleaceae
Description: long non-coding RNA (OEUR_LNC010349)
Source: RNAcentral
ACCAUAAACCAAAAGAUUCUUGGAAUGAUUCCUGGAAAUCACGAUAUCUUCACAUUAGAAUUAAAAGGGAUGAACGAGAAAAACAAUGUUUCUCCGAAAAAUACUUGAAUUUGCGAGGGGAAAAAAAAUCCGUCACACGAUUCCCGCCUUCGAAAUUUACGAUUCCCAAUCCCACAGGCUCUCACAUUGAGAAAAAGCACUCCUGGUCUCCUCCUCUUUUUUUUUUUUUUUUUGUUAUAUCAAAACUUCAUUUAGCGAUUUGAGAAAUAGAGAGGUGAGAGAGGCAGUGUUUUGCUCAUUGGGUUUCCUGACUUAGUUCUGGAAAACUGUGGGAUUUUGGAUUUCUGUAGAAUUGGGUUUUGAUGGCUUACGUUUGUUAUUUUUUUUUUUUUUCACAGC